This 497-nucleotide ribosomal RNA is filed under the name uncultured bacterium. RNAcentral's name for it is "partial 16S ribosomal RNA". It matches the Rfam family "Bacterial small subunit ribosomal RNA", at positions 28 to 507 of the family's 1533-position model. The record is from RNAcentral.
GAUGAACGCUGGCGGCGUGCCUAAUACAUGCAAGUCGAGCGAACAGAUAAGGAGCUUGCUCCUUUGACGUUAGCGGCGGACGGGUGAGUAACACGUGGGUAACCUACCUAUAAGACUGGGAUAACUUCGGGAAACCGGAGCUAAUACCGGAUAAUAUUUCGAACCGCAUGGUUCGAUAGUGAAAGAUGGUUUUGCUAUCACUUAUAGAUGGACCCGCGCCGUAUUAGCUAGUUGGUAAGGUAACGGCUUACCAAGGCGACGAUACGUAGCCGACCUGAGCGGGUGAUCGGCCACACUGGAACUGAGACACGGUCCAGACUCCUACGGGAGGCAGCAGUAGGGAAUCUUCCGCAAUGGGCGAAAGCCUGACGGAGCAACGCCGCGUGAGUGAUGAAGGUCUUCGGAUCGUAAAACUCUGUUAUUAGGGAAGAACAUACGUGUAAGUAACUGUGCACGUCUUGACGGUACCUAAUCAGAAAGCCACGGCUAACUACGUG